Molecule: long non-coding RNA, 255 nt
Filed under: Ananas comosus (pineapple)
Lineage: Eukaryota; Viridiplantae; Streptophyta; Magnoliopsida; Poales; Bromeliaceae
Description: long non-coding RNA (ACOM_LNC021389)
Source: RNAcentral
CCGUUGGCAUCAACGGAGGUGUGGGCGAGGUAGAAGAGAGGAGCAUAGCAUUGACGUAGGGAUGAUGGAAGAGAAGAAGCAGGUACAGAAAUGGAAGAAAAAAGAGAGAAAAAAACGAUGAGAAAGGGGAAACGAAAAGGGAGAAGAAAAGUAAACAGGAGAUAAAACGGAGAGAGAAAGAGAGGAGGGUAUUUUGGUCAUUUUAUUAAAAAUUUAGACCUAAUCUGUAAAAUUUUAAAAAAUGAUCUAUUUUUG